Molecule: ribosomal RNA, 253 nt
Filed under: uncultured bacterium
Lineage: Bacteria
Description: partial 16S ribosomal RNA
Rfam family: Bacterial small subunit ribosomal RNA
Source: RNAcentral
UACGUAGGGGGCUAGCGUUGUCCGGAAUCAUUGGGCGUAAAGCGCGUGUAGGCGGCCCGGUAAGUCCGCUGUGAAAGUCGGGGGCUCAACCCUCGGAUGCGGGUGGAUACUGCUGGGCUAGAGUCCGGAAGAGGCGAGUGGAAUUCCUGGUGUAGCGGUGAAAUGCGCAGAUAUCAGGAGGAACACCGAUGGCGAAGGCAGCUCGCUGGGACGGUACUGACGCUGAGGCGCGAAAGCGUGGGGAGCAAACAGG